GAUGAACGCUAGCGGCAGGCUUAACACAUGCAAGUCGAGGGGCAGCAUAAUGGAUAGCAAUAUCUAUGGUGGCGACCGGCGCACGGGUGCGUAACGCGUAUGCAACCUACCUUUAACAGGGGGAUAACACUGAGAAAUUGGUACUAAUACCGCAUAAUGCAACGGAAUCGCAUGACUCUGUUGCCAAAGAUUUUAUCGCUCUGAGAUGGCCUCGCGUCUGAUUAGCUAGUUGGCGGGGUAACGGCCCACCAAGGCGACGAUCAGUAGCCGGACUGAGAGGUUGGCCGGCCACAUUGGGACUGAGACACGGCCCAG
Molecule: ribosomal RNA, 315 nt
Filed under: uncultured bacterium
Lineage: Bacteria
Description: bacterial SSU rRNA
Rfam family: Bacterial small subunit ribosomal RNA
Source: RNAcentral